CGGGCACACAAAUCCAAGCAAGAGAGAAAACCAUCCAAUUCCGCAGCCGAAACAAGGAAGGGGUUUGUCAAACAGUCCCAACUGAGGUUCCUCAGCAUCAUUAAUCAGAAUAUACUCGCCUUGCUUAUUGUCGACAGCAUUAGUUGAGUGCCCCUGAUCCAUUCGUUCCAGAAAUGUAUUAGAAAGUUAGUGUCCGCAAUUUCCUCCCUGCCUCUAACAAAUAUUAAUAAGAAAUAGUGAAAUUCGCAGAAGAGAAAUACAGACGACGAUGAAAAGAAGAAAAAGAAGCAAGCUUGCAGCUUUCUAGAGUUCUGUUGCGAAGUUGUUUUCUUAAUUUCUUUAUUAUUUUACUUGGUGGCGAAAAUAGGGGCGUUUCGGUAUCUCAUCAGUCAUCAUCUCC
This 400-nucleotide unclassified non-coding RNA is filed under the name Hevea brasiliensis (rubber tree). Lineage: Eukaryota; Viridiplantae; Streptophyta; Magnoliopsida; Malpighiales; Euphorbiaceae. The record is from RNAcentral.